AACGAACGCUGGCGGCAUGCCUAACACAUGCAAGUCGAACGAGAUCUUCGGGUCUAGUGGCGCACGGGUGCGUAACGCGUGGGAAUCUGCCCUUUGGUUCGGAAUAACAGUUGGAAACGACUGCUAAUACCGGAUGAUGACGAAAGUCCAAAGAUUUAUCGCCAGAGGAUGAGCCCGCGUAGGAUUAGCUAGUUGGUGUGGUAAAGGCGCACCAAGGCGACGAUCCUUAGCUGGUCUGAGAGAAUGAUCAGCCACACUGGGACUGAGACACGGCCCAGACUCCUACGGGAGGCAGCAGUGGGGAAUAUUGGACAAUGGGCGAAAGCCUGAUCCAGCAAUGCCGCGUGAGUGAUGAAGGCCUUAGGGUUGUAAAGCUCUUUUACCCGGGAUGAUAAUGACAGUACCGGGGGAAUAAGCUCCGGCUAACUCCGUGCCAGCCGCCGCGGUAA
RNAcentral lists this ribosomal RNA (449 nucleotides) under uncultured bacterium. RNAcentral describes it as "partial 16S ribosomal RNA". It matches the Rfam family "Bacterial small subunit ribosomal RNA", at positions 29 to 523 of the family's 1533-position model. The record is from RNAcentral.